This is a long non-coding RNA of Chinchilla lanigera (long-tailed chinchilla), 3120 nucleotides long. RefSeq lists it as uncharacterized. Lineage: Eukaryota; Metazoa; Chordata; Mammalia; Rodentia; Chinchillidae. The transcript has 5 exons. The record is from RefSeq and is a predicted model, not a curated record.
UCAUAUUCCUGGGAGAAAAAUCUUCCUGAUUUUCAGCAAGAUCUUGCAUUUCACCUAUGGCUUCUGAGUCUUGCACAGGGUCAGUGAUUGCAGUUCAGGCAGUAGAACAGGCCAGGCUGGCUUUUGCUGGCUCCUCCCGCAUUCCCCUCCCUCCAAGGAUAACUUCAAUUUCAUUGGAGUUAUAUUUAAACAGCAGCCUAUGAAACAACAGAAACAAGGUGGGAACCCCGUCCGUCCUAUUUUGAGGCCAUCUUGCCUGUUUGCCUGCGACAAGACCCUCUAGCCCUCACAUAUAGGGGUCUCUGGGUGACUGGCUGCCCAGGGACUGGGAGUAUGGGUACAAAUGGUGCACGCUUGGAGGUCGGACAGACUUGGGAAAGUCACCAUACCUCCCCACUUCCGGAAGCAUUUCUGGAAUCCCCGCCCUCAGCCCUCUGCCACGGCCUAGCUUUGCUCCCCAGAGACCGUCAUCAGGGACUUGGAAGGCUCCUCCACGGGGUGAGCUUUUGCAAGUUCUCAUUGUCUACAUCACUCCAGUGCUUUACCCAUCUCAACACCGACUGUCACUAGGGAAGCGCGGACAGGAGGCCACCACACACCAUCAGAAGGGCUAAGAUAACAUGGCGACAGUACCAAAAGCUGGCAAGGAUGGGGAAACACCGGAUCACUCGUACACUGGGAAUGCAAAAUGGCACAGGCUGUCUGGAAAAUGGUCUGACAGUGUCUUUAAAAAACUGAAACUUCAACGGCCAUCAAACCUUACGAUUGUACUUACCCUGGUGAUUUCCUGGGGUGGGGGUCUGUUUACAUGAAAACCUGUACACAGAUGGUCCCCGCAGCCUUAUUCUUGACAGGCUGUCCUUUGCGAGCUCACGUGUCUUUCCACAGGUGAAUGGUUAAGCGAACUGUGGUACCUUGGGACCCUGCCGUCCUGCUCUGUCCAAAAUGAAUUACUGAUGUGUGUCAUACACAAAACGGAUGAAUGGCCAGGAAGUGAAGCCAGGCAUGAGAGAAGUUUGCUGAGCCUGGAGUUUUCUUUCAUGAGACUCUCGUGAGGAUGUCUGCUUGCUAUGGGGCUGUUCAAGCCUCACAAAAUGGGACCAUGGGUCAAGACCUAUGAAAGAUAUUUUCAAAGGCUUGGAAGACAGAAGCCUACAGGGGGUCAUCUCAGCACGGAGGCCCAGCUGCGCGGUAUGGUUGUUUCUUUGGGAAACCCGGGCGCGUGCAGAGUCACCCAGGUCGAGAUCCACGAGGAGUGUGCGUCCGUCUGUCCACUCACCCAGCAGUAACUGACUGGGGUGGCUCGCGAAGAAGGGGCACGGGCUGGGCAGCGUGAUGGGUUCAGCGUAAGGCUCCCCGAGAAACCACACCGUGACAGGCUGCAGGAGCUCGGACACGCGCGGAGGGCUUCCUUACGCAGAGCCUGCUCUCCGUGGCGCUCCCGUCGACACUGCACGGGCUGGAGCACACGAGAAGAUCAGGAAACUGAUGAAAGCAGACCGUACUGAUGCUUUCCAAGCUGCGGAGAGAGAAAAGAGCCCACUCUUCCGGGAGCCGCCCUUUCACACUGGGGCCCCGCCCGGACUGAAGCCUGUAUCCCUACUCUUACCAUGUGUCCCUGUGUCAGAGGUCACGCGGAGCCACCCGGGAGUGCUGCUAGGGGCUUCGUGGAAUCACAGCAGUGCUAUCCACCGGUGAAGGAGCAAGGUCUUCGGGUCGGUGAGAUCAGCUUGCAUUCUGGUGCUUGCGCCUCAGUUUCUUUAUUGUGCACGAGAAAAUCAGACCAGACCUGGCUGGUUCACACCUGGGAGCUGACUUUACAGUGGAAGCUGUUCUUCCUGUCUCCACCAGCGGAGGGAUUUGGGAGAGACGCGUUCAGAAGAUGGAGUGGCACUUGAGCCCAAGCCUUCUGCUCAGCUGGCACAUGUCCCUGCCUGAGUACGAAGGGUCUGUGAGGAAGACCACCUCCCAGGGUCAGCACAGUUUGUUCAGGAAUCUGGGUCCUGGUUUCCAACCCUUGGUCUGGCCUUAGGAUCAGCCUGGGGGGUCCUGUUAAAAAGUUGCCCUGGUCUCACUCCAGAGCUACUGAGACAGAAUAUUCCAACCUAGAGUUUGGGAAUAUAUAUAGCUGCAUAGCUCCAAUAGAUUUCAUACACCCACCUUUGUAGAAAACACUAUUCACAGUAGCCAAAAGGUGGAAGGAACCUGUGCCCACCAACGGGUGAAUGAAUGGACAAACAUAAUGUGGUAUGUGUAUGCAAUAGAAUACUACUCAGCCAUAAAAAGGAAGGAAAUUCUGACACAUGCUAUAACAUGGAUGAACCUUGAUGACAUCAUGAUAAGCAAAAUAAGCCAACCACAACAAGACAAGAAUUAUGUGAUCUCACUUCCAUGAGGUACCUAGAGUAGUCAAAUGCGUGGAGACAGAAAGAAGAGUGGUUGCCAGGGGCUGGGGGCUGGAAAAUGGAGAGUUAAUGUUUAACGAUGCAGUUUCAGUUGGGAAUAAGAAACUUCCGGAAGUGGGUGGUGGAGAUGGCUGUGUCACUGUAUGAAUGUAUUUACAUUACUGAGUAAGUUUAAGUGGUCCGUUUUAAUUUGUGUACAUUUCACUAAAAAAUUAAAAUAAAGCACGCAGGCGGUCCUAACACAGGGAGUCCGGGAACUUGGACUUGAGACUCGGACUCCAUUCCAAAUCCUGUUUGCUGUUCUUUUGCCCACCUUAGCCUGCAGCCUGCCUUCCGGCCCCUGCCAUCUCGAGGAGGCGGGAAGGAGGAGGGGCGAAUAUUCCCAGCAGUCCGUGCGGCAGCAGCACCGGGAGGCAGAAAGGUCGGCUGCAGCAGGUGACAGCGCCCCUCUCCUGCCUUCCCUGCUGGACAGGGAAGCACCUUCCCAGCUCGCGCACCUUGAGGGCAAUGACAGCCACGCCUACGGGGAGGAGAGCCACCCCUGCAGGCCCCGAGACUGCGCUUCCCCCGUCUACCCCAGGCUGUCACCCCAACCUCAAGCAGUGGGUGCAGCGGCCCCUGUGUCUCCUUCUCCCCGCUUUGGAGAGUUGGGGGAAUUUUGCGAUCCUGUAGCUUUCCUCCUGGGAGAUGAAGCACAGCCACUGUGCACUGGAAG